Long non-coding RNA from Vulpes vulpes (red fox), 1553 nucleotides. The record is from Ensembl. NCBI's taxonomy places the organism in Eukaryota, Metazoa, Chordata, Mammalia, Carnivora, Canidae.
AAAAAACUGUUCUUUCCACUUCUCUCUCUGUGGUAGAUUAAAGAUAGCCACAAAUUCUUUGCUAUUCCUCCCAUCAAGAAAUGGAGUCUCUUUCCCAUCUCAAAUCUAGGCAUGUCCUGUGACUUGCUUUGGCCAGUAGAACAUGGCAGAAAUGACGGAGGGCUUGUUCUGGGCCAAGCCUUUGAGAAGCCUGGCAGCUUCCACUACAUAGGGGGAAGCCAGCUAGCAGUGAAAAAGUCUCGCAAUUCUGAGACUCCUGGGCGAGGGCCUAGCUAGCCAUGUGGAGAAGCCACCCAGCAAACAACUGAGGGCCCAGACAUAUGACCCCAGCUGAGCCAUCCCCGCCAAUAUUCCCAGUCAUUUCAAGCGACCCAGCCAAGCAUCCAGACACCGUGGAGCAGACAAGCCCUCCCCGCUGUGCCUCUCCAAAUGCCUGAAUCACAAAAUCAUAAGUAGAAUAGCUACUGCUUCAAACCACUAAGUUCUGGGGGUAGUUCUUACUCAGCAAUAGGUAACCAAAAGCCUCUAUGCUGUUCUUUUUCUCCCCCUUCCCUGAAAAAUAAGAAGACGUUACUGGGAUGUGUAGUCUGACAGAGUUGGCUUUUAUUACAAAUCCUGUAGCCGCAGUGCUGACCAUGCAAACUAACAUUCUGACCCAAAAGAUACACUGUGCCAAACACUCAGAAAGCUAUCUUCCUAGAAACUUCCAGCUAAGUAUUGUCAGGGAGCCAAUAGCGCAUGGGUGUUUUCGAGCUGGAAAUAAUCAGGUCAUUAUUGAAUUUGGAAAACCAGAUUGCCAGCCCCUGACAUCACAAAAGGAUUGCUCUUCUCUGGAACCUACUCUGCAUGAGUUCAUCCAGAGGCUGGACCCUCAAAGGGAUACACCCUGGGUCAUCCACCUGGUCCUAUAUGCCCAUCUCGGUCCCAGCUACCAUGACUGGGGAGUGUCUGGGAGUCAUCGAGGGGCUGAAAGAGCUGGCCAAGUUGGAUCGGCACUCCUCUGUAAAAUGUCAAAUGAAGACUACACCAGGGCUUCUUCAACCUUAGCAUGUGUAAGAAGACUUUGGCAGCUUGUCAAAAUGCAGAUUCCUACACACCCCCAGAGCAUCUGGCUCAGUAAGUCUGGGGUAGAGACCAAGAUGCUUGAACUCAAACAAGCCACCAGUUAGUGCUGAUGCAGCUGGUCUGGGAACCACCCUUUGACCAGCACUGGCCUACACCAGUAGCCUCUUCAGUGAAGGCUGGCAUCUCACCUUUAAAGAUUCCUUUCCCGGGGUAAAGAAAUGUGCAAAUUAAAUAUACCAGUCCAUGUGACCAACUAAAGAAAACUGUAUUCUUAUUUUGGGUUUCAGUUCAAUUCGCCAAACUUACUCUGCUGUCUUGCACUAUGUCCACUGAAGACAUCAGAUUUACCCUCAAGAAGAUUCCUACCUCUACAUGUAUGUAAAUACCAAGGCAAAUUAUAAUGAGACUGUGAUAUAACAAACACCAAAAAUGAAGCCCAAACUCCUAGUGGAUGCUAGCAUUCAGGGAAUGUCAAAGCAAAGAUGAAC